AUGCCGCGUGAGCGAAGAAGGUCUUCGGAUUGUAAAGCUCUGUUGCCGGGGAAAAAGGAAGGAAAGAGGAAAUGCUUUUCUUUGGAUGGUACCCGGCCAGAAAGUCACGGCUAACUACGUGCC
RNAcentral lists this ribosomal RNA (123 nucleotides) under uncultured bacterium. RNAcentral's name for it is "partial 16S ribosomal RNA". It matches the Rfam family "Bacterial small subunit ribosomal RNA", at positions 394 to 509 of the family's 1533-position model. The record is from RNAcentral.